This is a long non-coding RNA of Brienomyrus brachyistius, 315 nucleotides long. RefSeq lists it as uncharacterized. The transcript has 3 exons. The record is from RefSeq and is a predicted model, not a curated record. Lineage: Eukaryota; Metazoa; Chordata; Actinopteri; Osteoglossiformes; Mormyridae.
AUCAUUAACAGUCCCACUGUCUGCUUCUUUCGGUUCCCAAAGCCAGGAGUGCAAUUCCUGAGUGUUCCAUGCUUUAAUUUCCCUGAUUUUCAUACCUCUUUGGGGGUUCAUUGUGGGAGGUGCCUGUUUGGGGAUUCAUUGUGGGAGGUGCCUGUUUGGGAGCUCAUUGUGGGAGGUGCCUGUUUGGGGAUUCAUUGUGGGAGGUGCCUGUUUGGGAGCUCAUUGUGGGAGGUGCCUGUUUGGGGAUUCAUUCUGGGAGGUGCCUGUUUGGGAGCUCAUUGUGGGAGGUGCCUGUUUGGGAACUCAUUCUGGGAG